GUAUGUGGGAGUCUACAUUCUCCAUUGCUGCGUCAGUGUGAAAACUGAGCUGUACAUUAGUAAUAAGAUGGCUGUGUUAUGUGGAUGCUGCUACAUAUAAUAUCAGGAAGAAAUGGAUGACUUAGGUGGAGCGCUGAAUUGACUUCGACUAAAGGGUAAAACAACUGCGUGCUUCCCUGAGUUUGUAAAAGGGAUUGAAAAGGAAAUGGCGUAUAUCCGCCAUUGUUGUUUCCUUCUCCACACACGCACGCGCGCGCGCACACACCCGGGCUCACGGAGGCAAAUAAUAACGUAGGACUUAUGUUGCUAAAUACUGACAUGUAGCGGACUUCUAGUGAAAUUGACCACAUGUGCACUUAAUUUGAAACUUAGUAGCAUUCGUUGUCUGAAGUGCGAUGGACAGAAAUGUACUGAAGGCACUAGUUUGACGUUAAACUGGCAGUAAGUAUUCAUCCGCUCCUUCAUGGGUGUCAAGAGCACGGUGGUACCCGGAUGGAGUGUCAUGGCCGCCGUCGAUGUGGUCCCUCAGAGCUCCGAGCAGGACGCCUAAUGUGUCUGUUGAGCUAUUCCGUCAUGCUGAACACUGUUUAAAAAAAUACCUGCGCGUUGAAUGGAUGUCGUCUGAACUUCCCUCAAUUUCACAGUUGUGAUGCUUUAACAUGAUCUGCUGAUAGCCAGAGGCAGCAUGCAUUAAUGGCUGGACAAAGACUUCUCAAACAGUCACAGGUUACACAGAAGUGCCUGAACACAUAUCACUUUGCCAAUGCACCAAACCACAUGAUGCGCUGGAAACCACAAGAGCGGAGUACACCUCCGCAUGAACAAAUAGUGCACACACUGCGGUGUGUGUUCACUGGAGGCGCUUUGUACAACCAACAACAGAACAUUUUGCGUGUUGAGCUUCGAGCAACGACUUUGAGAAACACUACUGCUAUCUCACCGCUGGACACACCAAACUCCACCUCGGGGAUGAACGCUCCCCUCUCAGAUGUCCCCUAUCACAGCUCAGAGGAGUUUGACCUAUGUAAAUGACUCCUGCAUUGAUGUCACUGCAGGAGCUGUAUCUGAGCGGAACAAAAAAACAGCCAGCAGCAAUAAUAAUGAUAUUGAUAAAUAUAAGGAUAAAAUAAAGGAGAGAGGAAUUACUGCA
Molecule: long non-coding RNA, 1150 nt
Filed under: Gouania willdenowi (blunt-snouted clingfish)
Lineage: Eukaryota; Metazoa; Chordata; Actinopteri; Blenniiformes; Gobiesocidae
Description: lncRNA (ENSGWIG00000017974.1)
Source: RNAcentral